GGUUGAUGAUGAGCUGGCAUGUAUUCUGAAUCUAAAGUUGAUUAUUACUACAACUCUAAAAUUAUUGAGACCUG
Molecule: small nucleolar RNA, 74 nt
Filed under: Carlito syrichta (Philippine tarsier)
Lineage: Eukaryota; Metazoa; Chordata; Mammalia; Primates; Tarsiidae
Description: Small nucleolar RNA SNORD45 (ENSTSYG00000022227.2)
Rfam family: Small nucleolar RNA SNORD45
About the family: U45 belongs to the C/D class of snoRNA which contain the C (UGAUGA) and D (CUGA) box motifs. Most of the members of the box C/D family function in directing site-specific 2'-O-methylation of substrate RNAs.
Source: Rfam by way of RNAcentral